GCCACCAUAGCUCAGUGGUUAGAGCGCUGGUCUUGUAAUCCAGGGGUCGUGAGUUCUAUCCUCACUGCUGGCU
Araneus ventricosus is the source of this 73-nucleotide non-coding RNA. The record is from the annotation of a GenBank genome assembly. NCBI's taxonomy places the organism in Eukaryota, Metazoa, Arthropoda, Arachnida, Araneae, Araneidae.